RNAcentral lists this small RNA (125 nucleotides) under Marmota monax (woodchuck). The record is from RNAcentral. Lineage: Eukaryota; Metazoa; Chordata; Mammalia; Rodentia; Sciuridae.
GCUGGGUGUGGUGGCACAUGCCUGUAAUCCCAGCAGCUCGGGAGGCUGAGACAGGAGGAUCAUGUGUUCAAAGGUAGCCCCAGAAGCAGUGAGGCCCUAAGCAACUCAGUGAGAUCCUGUCUCUA